Molecule: ribosomal RNA, 1117 nt
Filed under: uncultured archaeon
Lineage: Archaea
Description: bacterial SSU rRNA
Rfam family: Archaeal small subunit ribosomal RNA
Source: RNAcentral
GGCGCAGCAGGCGAGAAAACUUUGCAAUGUGCGAAAGCACGACAAGGUUAAUCCGAGUGGUUUCUGCUAAAGGAACCUUUUGUUAGUCCUAGAAACACUAACGAAUAAGGGGUGGGCAAGUACUGGUGUCAGCCGCCGCGGUAAAACCAGCACCUCAAGUGGUCAGGAUGAUUAUUGGGCCUAAAGCAUCCGUAGCCGGCUCUGUAAGUUUUCGGUUAAAUCUGUACGCUCAACGUACAGGCUGCCGGGAAUACUGCAGAGCUAGGGAGUGGGAGAGGUAGACGGUACUCGGUAGGAAGGGGUAAAAUCCUUUGAUCUAUUGAUGACCACCUGUGGCGAAGGCGGUCUACCAGAGCACGUCCGACGGUGAGGGAUGAAAGCUGGGGGAGCAAACCGGAUUAGAUACCCGGGUAGUCCCAGCUGUAAACUAUGCAAACUCAGUGAUGCAUUGGCUUGUGGCCAAUGCAGUGCUGCAGGGAAGCCGUUAAGUUUGCCGCCUGGGAAGUACGUACGCAAGUAUGAAACUUAAAGGAAUUGGCGGGGGAGCACCACAAGGGGUGAAGCCUGCGGUUCAAUUGGAGUCAACGCCAGAAAUCUUACCCGGAGAGACAGCAGAAUGAAGGUCAAGCUGAAGACUUUACCAGACAAGCUGAGAGGUGGUGCAUGGCCGUCGCCAGCUCGUGCCGUGAGAUGUCCUGUUAAGUCAGGUAACGAGCGAGAUCCCUGCCUCUAGUUGCCACCAUUACUCUCAGGAGUAGUGGGGCGAAUUAGCGGGACCGCCGCAGUUAAUGCGGAGGAAGGAAGGGGCCACGGCAGGUCAGUAUGCCCCGAAACUCUGGGGCCACACGCGGGCUGCAAUGGUAAUGACAAUGGGUUCCAAAUCCGAAAGGAGAGGUAAUCCUCAAACAUUACCACAGUUAUGACUGAGGGCUGCAACUCGCCCUCACGAAUAUGGAAUCCCUAGUAACUGCGUGUCAUUAUCGCGCGGUGAAUACGUCCCUGCUCCUUGCACACACCGCCCGUCGUUUCAUUGAAGUGAGCUUUUAGCGAGGUGACGUCUGAUUGGCGUUAUCGAACUUGAGGUUCGUGACAAGGGAAAAGUCGUAACAAGGUAACC